CCUAUGGGGUGCAGCAGGCGCGAAACCUCCGCAAUGUGAGAAAUCGCGACGGGGGGAUCCCAAGUGCCAUUCUUAACGGGAUGGCUUUUCAUUAGUGUAAAGAGCUUUUGGAAUAAGAGCUGGGCAAGACCGGUGCCAGCCGCCGCGGUAACACCGGCAGCUCUAGUGGUAGCAGUUUUUAUUGGGCCUAAAGCGUCCGUAGCCGGUUUAAUAAGUCUCUGGUGAAAUCUUGCAGCUUAACUGUGGGAAUUGCUGGAGAUACUAUUAGGCUUGAGAUCGGGAGAGGUUAGAGGUACUCCCAGGGUAGAGGUGAAAUUCUGUAAUCCUGGGAGGACCACCUGUGGCGAAGGCGUCUAGCUGGAACGAUUCUGACGGUGAGGGACGAAAGCUAGGGGCGCGAACCGGAUUAGAUACCCGCGUAGUCC
RNAcentral lists this ribosomal RNA (425 nucleotides) under uncultured Methanobrevibacter sp. Its description in RNAcentral is "bacterial SSU rRNA". It matches the Rfam family "Archaeal small subunit ribosomal RNA", at positions 322 to 747 of the family's 1478-position model. The record is from RNAcentral. Lineage: Archaea; Methanobacteriati; Methanobacteriota; Methanobacteria; Methanobacteriales; Methanobacteriaceae.